This 853-nucleotide long non-coding RNA is filed under the name Gossypium barbadense (sea-island cotton). RNAcentral describes it as "long non-coding RNA (GBAR_LNC021863)". The record is from RNAcentral. Lineage: Eukaryota; Viridiplantae; Streptophyta; Magnoliopsida; Malvales; Malvaceae.
AAGAAUGCAAUUAUUAACCAUGUCAAAACCCCUUCAAUUUAAACAUUAACCUCAAAGUAAUAGGCAGCCAAGACAGCAAAUUUCAUCAACAGUGGCAAGCAACAACAAUUAUUUGAAACAAAUGGAAACAAAAAAAAGAAGCAAAUGACAGCAGCAGUUGGAGCACAACGGUGCAACAAAUUGAGAGAGACGACAGCGGCAAACGGUGCAGCAAUUUAGAUCAUCAAUGGAGAGUCAUAACAGUAGCACUCUGGAUGGGUAAGACUUUGGACUAAAGAUGGAGAGCAAUAUCAGCAAAACUUUGGGGAGAAUGGAGAGCAAUAUCAGUAAGUGGCAGCAACAACAAUAAAGGGAGGUUGUGAAACAGCUAUUAGAGAUGGUCACGACUAGAACAUCAAAACUGUGGCAAUCGGUAGCAACAAUCAAAAGGCAAUUGGAUGCUGAAGACAGUGCCGGUUGGAGACUGAAACGGUAGCAAGAAAUUGAUGGUGGAAAUUGGAGCAAACGACAACUUUUUGGAGUAGCAAAUAGCAACAAAUAACUUCAGCAAGGCGGCGGCAAUUACUACUGCAGCUCAAGGCAACAAAGAAGCAAAACGGUGCUGAGAUUACAGCCAAGCGGUGUGAGAAUUUGAAGGCAAAAUUAAAAGCUAAUUUUUGGACGCCAAGCCAGCAGCCUUAUUAUUAUUACUGGUAGGUAUGGUCCCUAUUCUUCGUUUAAUUUUUUUUUUGUUUCGAUUUAAUACAAUAGGUUAAUUAUUUUUUAUUGAUAUUUAAAUGUUAAAAUAUGCGUUAAAUUUUUAUAUAUUUUGUACAUUUAAAAUUUAAUUUUUUUAUUUUCAGAAAUUUAUAUC